Molecule: ribosomal RNA, 1416 nt
Filed under: metagenome
Description: bacterial LSU rRNA
Rfam family: Bacterial large subunit ribosomal RNA
Source: RNAcentral
GCAGGCAAAUCCGGAAAAUCAAGGCUGAGGCGUGAUGACGAGGCACUACGGUGCUGAAGCAACAAAUGCCCUGCUUCCAGGAAAAGCCUCUAAGCAUCAGGUACAUCAAAUCGUACCCCAAACCGACACAGGUGGUCAGGUAGAGAAUACCAAGGCGCUUGAGAGAACUCGGGUGAAGGAACUAGGCAAAAUGGUGCCGUAACUUCGGGAGAAGGCACGCUGAUAUGUAGGUGAAGCGACUUGCUCGUGGAGCUGAAAUCAGUCGAAGAUACCAGCUGGCUGCAACUGUUUAUUAAAAACACAGCACUGUGCAAACACGAAAGUGGACGUAUACGGUGUGACGCCUACCCGGUGCCGGAAGGUUAAUUGAUGGGGUUAGCGCAAGCGAAGCUCUUGAUCGAAGCCCCGGUAAACGGCGGCCGUAACUAUAACGGUCCUAAGGUAGCGAAAUUCCUUGUCGGGUAAGUUCCGACCUGCACGAAUGGCGUAAUGAUGGCCAGGCUGUCUCCACCCGAGACUCAGUGAAAUUGAACUCGCUGUGAAGAUGCAGUGUACCCGCGGCAAGACGGAAAGACCCCGUGAACCUUUACUAUAGCUUGACACUGAACAUUGAGCCUUGAUGUGUAGGAUAGGUGGGAGGCUUAGAAGUGUGGACGCCAGUCUGCAUGGAGCCGACCUUGAAAUACCACCCUUUAAUGUUUGAUGUUCUAACGUUGACCCGUAAUCCGGGUUGCGGACAGUGUCUGGUGGGUAGUUUGACUGGGGCGGUCUCCUCCUAAAGAGUAACGGAGGAGCACGAAGGUUGGCUAAUCCUGGUCGGACAUCAGGAGGUUAGUGCAAUGGCAUAAGCCAGCUUGACUGCGAGCGUGACGGCGCGAGCAGGUGCGAAAGCAGGUCAUAGUGAUCCGGUGGUUCUGAAUGGAGGGGCCAUCGCUCAACGGAUAAAAGGUACUCCGGGGAUAACAGGCUGAUACCGCCCAAGAGUUCAUAUCGACGGCGGUGUUUGGCACCUCGAUGUCGGCUCAUCACAUCCUGGGGCUGAAGUAGGUCCCAAGGGUAUGGCUGUUCGCCAUUUAAAGUGGUACGCGAGCUGGGUUUAGAACGUCGUGAGACAGUUCGGUCCCUAUCUGCCGUGGGCGCUGGAGAACUGAGGGGGGCUGCUCCUAGUACGAGAGGACCGGAGUGGACGCAUCACUGGUGUUCGGGUUGUCAUGCCAAUGGCACUGCCCGGUAGCUAAAUGCGGAAGAGAUAAGUGCUGAAAGCAUCUAAGCACGAAACUUGCCCCGAGAUGAGUUCUCCCUGACCCUUUAAGGGUCCUGAAGGAACGUUGAAGACGACGACGUUGAUAGGCCGGGUGUGUAAGCGCAGCGGUGCGUUGAGCUAACCGGUACUAAUGAACCGUGAGGCUUAACCCG